RNAcentral lists this unclassified non-coding RNA (951 nucleotides) under Hevea brasiliensis (rubber tree). Lineage: Eukaryota; Viridiplantae; Streptophyta; Magnoliopsida; Malpighiales; Euphorbiaceae. The record is from RNAcentral.
AGGACGAUGACCUUCCCGGAAGUUUGAUAUAUCCAUCCACAUGUAUGAUAUACCUAUCCACCCUAUAUAAACCACAGAGUAACAACAGAUUUCUCAAGAAAAAUCCUCAAGCCAGAAAAAAAAAAUCUCUAGACCAUGUUUCGCCAAGCUGUCAUCUUGUCUUUGCUAGUAAUUCUAGCAAACAUUCAAGGCAACCAAGCUGUAGACUACACCGUCACCAAUACCGCCGGUUCGACAGCCGGUGGGGCACGCUUUGCUGCAGAAAUUGGGGAAGAUUACAGCAAGCAAAUGUCAUCAGCAGCUACAGAUUUCAUAUGGAGGGUGUUCCAACAACCCAAUGCAGAAGACAGAAAAGCUGUGGACAAGGUCAGCUUGUUCAUCGAUGACAUAGAUGGUGUUGCUGCUUAUGCUUCCAACAAUGAAAUCCAUGUCAGCGCAAAUUAUAUAGGAAAUUACUCUGGUGAUCUGAAAAGGGAAUAUACUGGUGUUCUUUACCAUGAAAUGACCCACAUCUGGCAAUGGAAUGGUAAUGGGCAAGCUCCAGGAGGGUUGAUUGAAGGUGUUGCUGAUUUUGUGAGGUUGAAGGCUAACUAUGCUCCUAGCCACUGGGUGCAGCCAGGACAGGGUGACAGGUGGGAUCAAGGGUAUGAUGUUACAGCUCGGUUUUUGGAUUAUUGUAAUGAUCUGAGAAAUGGGUUUGUGGCUGAACUUAACAAGAAGAUGAGAGAUGGUUAUAGUGAUCAGUACUUUGUUGAUCUGCUAGGGAAGACUGUUGAUCAGCUUUGGAGUGAUUAUAAGGCCAAAUAUGCACAAUAGGGCUGUUUAGAUUUGGAGAAAAUAAAACUUUCAAUUUCUAUUAGCAUGAAUCUAUGUAUUAAUCACUAAAUAAAGUUGUGAUAUCUUUCUACACUUUGUAAAAUUUUUAAUAAAAUAUAUUUUAUUUACUUAUGA